Molecule: long non-coding RNA, 825 nt
Filed under: Mus spicilegus (steppe mouse)
Lineage: Eukaryota; Metazoa; Chordata; Mammalia; Rodentia; Muridae
Description: lncRNA (ENSMSIG00000031088.1)
Source: RNAcentral
AUUUAUGUAUGUAUACACACACAUCUAUCUAUCUAUCUAUCUAUCUAUCUAUCUAUCUAUCUAUCUAUCCAUCCAUUAAGAUGCCCUUCAUGUUGCUUGCUUGAAGUGUAUUCAACUCAAUCUACCCCCUGCCCCUCUGUUCUCUGCCUAUCUUUCUGCCAAGUCUAAUUAAUACCUGCCUCCCUGAGAUAACUUCUCUAUUAGGCGGACAGUUUGGGGCCCACUCCUACUUAUAUUAUAUAUCAAUCUCUUGAGUCUUGCUUCCAUACAUUCUUGCAACAAGCCCUUUACUGGAAGUUUCCUCAGUGUGUUCCAGUGUAUGUCUCAGGAACCCAGAGGUGCAGUUGUGAUUCCAAGUGUCUCAGGCACUUACUUCAGUCCACUGCCUUGGAGUGGCGUCCGUCCCAGUCGGCCAAUGGGGCGCGGCUUGAGGAAAAGAAAGUAGAAUUUGGGGCUGUGGCUUUAUCUGAAUUUGGAUCCUGGGAUGCAGGGCUGAAGAGGACUCUGUGUGAAUGUCACUGCAGCAACAUGGAACUUCUUGAGGUGGAGCCCUGGCCUUUGGCUCUGAGGCCGGUGGACCAGACUCUACCAGCUACACAGCAAUGCCAGAGAGAAUCUUCUGGGCAGAAAGGGAUGAUGUUGUAUCCUAACCCCCAAGUAAUGGAAAGGUAGGAGGUAAAAGAGAGAGCCUGCGCCAGGAUGACAAGAAGCAGGCACAGUUCCCACCGAGUCCACAAUGGCUGCGGGUCUCAUCUGUUGACAGGACAGGGAAAUAAUACCAGACUCUGAGGUCAUAGAUUCUCGGGCUACCGAAGUCACCCUGGG